CCUACGGGUGGCAGCAGCGGGGAAUAUUGGACAAUGGGCGAAAGCCUGAUCCAGCAAUGCCGCGUGUGUGAAGAAGGUCUUCGGAUUGUAAAGCACUUUCGACGGGGACGAUGAUGACGGUAUCUGGGGAAUAAGCCCCGGCUAACUUCGUGCCAGCAGCCGCGGUAAUACGAAGGGGGCUAGCGUUGCUCGGAAUGACUGGGCGUAAAGGGCGCGUAGGCGGUUUAUGCAGUCAGAUGUGAAAUCCCCGGGCUUAACCUGGGAACUGCAUUUGAGACGCAUAGACUAGAGGUCGAGAGAGGGUUGUGGAAUUCCCAGUGUAGAGGUGAAAUUCGUAGAUAUUGGGAAGAACACCGGUGGCGAAGGCGGCAACCUGGCUCGAUACUGACGCUGAGGCGCGAAAGCGUGGGGAGCAAACAGGAUUAGAUACCCCAGUAGUC
This 440-nucleotide ribosomal RNA is filed under the name uncultured bacterium. RNAcentral describes it as "bacterial SSU rRNA". It matches the Rfam family "Bacterial small subunit ribosomal RNA", at positions 338 to 795 of the family's 1533-position model. The record is from RNAcentral.